GCGGCACGAAUCGUAAAGCAGACGAACCACCCCCUCCUCCUUCUGUCGUCUCGGCCGCCGCUCCCCGUCGAAGCUUCUCGACCCGCUCUGCCUCUCAUCUGUCCUCCUCGUCUCUUCUUCCUCUUCCGGGGCGCGGAGUCGCUCGCAGUCACAGAAACAAUGAGUCGAUGGAACAGUUGCACCGUCUACUUGGGCAAUCUUCCCAACGACAUCCGUGAGAGGGAACAUGAGGAUUUAUUCUACAAGGAUGGAGUCACUCCACAUCACCUAGAUAGCACAUGUGGUUACCAUCCUAUAUGGGUGAUGCAAGAGGAUUUGCACAAGUAUGGCCGUAUAUUGGAUAUCGACUUGAAAUCCCUCCAAGGCGUCCAGUUUAUGCUUUUGUUGAGGUAAUAUACCGGUGUGAUGCUGAAGAUGCAAUUUAUGGCCAUGAUGGGUAUGACUUUUAUUAUCCAGGUGGAAUUAGCUCAUGGUGGAACAGGUCCUUCCUUUGAUCGAUUAAGGAGCUAUAGUAGUUCUGGACGCCGUGAGGCAGCUAGGCAUUCUAAUUACCGCGGUUUGUGUUUCUAACUUUACGCUUUACAAAUCUGAUUGGGAGUUCUCCCUGUUCUUACAUCUCUAGAUCGUGCAGUUAUGGUUACUGGAUUACCUUCUUCAGCAUCAUGGCAAGAUCUCAAGGAUCACAUGCGGCGAGCUGGUGAUGUCUGUUUCUCUGACGUGUAUCGUGAGGCUGGAGUUUAGUAGCGAAUCCUUCCAGUUCCUCUUUUGUUCCUUGUGAGUAUUCAUAUGAAUUUGGGACUAGUCAUUUAGAAUACAUAACUGUCACUCAAAGCGUGUUAUCUUUUAGUAGUCUCAACUGCUGCUGACAUUAUCGUUACAUGUUGCAGCAAUUAUUGGAAUAGUUGAUUAUAACAACUAUGAGGACAUGAAACAUGCAGUGAGUUUGACUGUGUCUUCCACGUUGUGCUAUAGAUAGCUGGUUUAAUAAUUGACACAGAGAUAUUGAAAUGCUUCUCCAUGCGCAUACACGUGCAUACAUUCCCAUGAAGAUACUUGCUUACUAGGCUUUGUUAUGUUAGAUUAGAAAACUCGAUGGUUCAGAGUUCCGCAAUGCAUUUUCACGAGGAUAUGGUUAUCUUCUAUUUAUCCCCUUAUUUCUUAACCAGUAGUCUGAAUUAUAUAUCUACAUGUUUGCCUCACCUCAUUGAAAUUCAAGAGCUAGGCAUUCUAAUUACCGCGGUUUGUGUUUCUAACUUUACGCUUUACAAAUCUGAUUGGGAGUUCUCCCUGUUCUUACAUCUCUAGAUCGUGCAGUUAUGGUUACUGGAUUACCUUCUUCAGCAUCAUGGCAAGAUCUCAAGGAUCACAUGCGGCGAGCUGGUGAUGUCUGUUUCUCUGACGUGUAUCGUGAGGCUGGAGUUUAGUAGCGAAUCCUUCCAGUUCCUCUUUUGUUCCUUGUGAGUAUUCAUAUGAAUUUGGGACUAGUCAUUUAGAAUACAUAACUGUCACUCAAAGCGUGUUAUCUUUUAGUAGUCUCAACUGCUGCUGACAUUAUCGUUACAUGUUGCAGCAAUUAUUGGAAUAGUUGAUUAUAACAACUAUGAGGACAUGAAACAUGCAGUGAGUUUGACUGUGUCUUCCACGUUGUGCUAUAGAUAGCUGGUUUAAUAAUUGACACAGAGAUAUUGAAAUGCUUCUCCAUGCGCAUACACGUGCAUACAUUCCCAUGAAGAUACUUGCUUACUAGGCUUUGUUAUGUUAGAUUAGAAAACUCGAUGGUUCAGAGUUCCGCAAUGCAUUUUCACGAGGAUAUGGUUAUCUUCUAUUUAUCCCCUUAUUUCUUAACCAGUAGUCUGAAUUAUAUAUCUACAUGUUUGCCUCACCUCAUUGAAAUUCAAGAUCUACAUGCUCUAAUCAGCUUAUGCUGGUAAUAGGUGAGGGAGUAUGAUGCUAGGCAUGGUCGCUCUCCCUCUAGAGGCUAAGAGGCAGAAGUUGCAACCGCUCUUACUCGUGAAGCAGAAGCCAUAGCUGUUCUUACUCAAGGAGCAGAAGUCACAUUUAUAGCAGAGUUGGAGUCCGAUAUCUAGAUCUGCUUCUCGGUCUUGCUCACCUGUUAAAGCAAGGUCUGAACAAUUUUAUUCUGAUGAAAUCUGAGUGAAGGCAGAUGCACUUAAAGCCGUGAAAAACAUGUCAACAUUUGUGGGAUUGAGAUGUUAUAGUAUUGACUAUGAAUGAUUAGAAUUAUAUUCCUUAAAAAAUUAGAAAUUCAGCUUUAUUGUUUGAGAUGAAUUUAGGAGUGUGCUUGUUCUACUUCUGCACUUGCCAGUUCCAGAAUGCAAAAGUUGUUACCUCUUGGGCCGUGGCUUUAGCUUUAUGCUAUGUCAGGCAACUUACAUGUGUUGAAAAUUCUAGUUCCAUUUUGGCCAGUACGAGGAAAUAUUUGCAGCAGCUA
Brachypodium distachyon (stiff brome) is the source of this 2452-nucleotide RNA transcript. It is a transcript of the gene named serine/arginine-rich splicing factor SR34B, with no coding region annotated. NCBI's taxonomy places the organism in Eukaryota, Viridiplantae, Streptophyta, Magnoliopsida, Poales, Poaceae. The record is from RefSeq and is a predicted model, not a curated record. The transcript has 8 exons.